AGGAUGAACGCUAGCGGCAGGCUUAAUACAUGCAAGUCGUGGGGCAGCAUGGUGUAGCAAUACACUGAUGGCGACCGGCAAACGGGUGCGGAACACGUACGCAACCUUCCUUUAACUGGAGAAUAGCCCGGGGAAACCCGGAUUAAUACUCCGUAACAUUAUGAAGUGGCAUCACUUUAUAAUUAUAGCUCCGGCGGUUGAAGAUGGGCGUGCGUCUGAUUAGGUAGUUGGCGGGGUAACGGCCCACCAAGCCUACGAUCAGUAACUGGUGUGAGAGCACGACCAGUCACACGGGGCACUGAGACACGGGCCCGACUCCUACGGGAGGCAGCAGUAAGGAUAUUGGUCAAUGGACGCAAGUCUGAACCAGCCAUGCCGCGUGGAGGAUGAAGGUCCUCUGGAUUGUAAACUUCUUUUAUUGGGAAGAACCCCCGAUUUCUAUUGGGGUUGACGGUACCAGAUGAAUAAGCACCGGCUAACUCCGUGCCAGCAGCCGCGGUAAUCGUGA
This 508-nucleotide ribosomal RNA is filed under the name uncultured bacterium. Its description in RNAcentral is "SSU rRNA". It matches the Rfam family "Bacterial small subunit ribosomal RNA", at positions 26 to 529 of the family's 1533-position model. The record is from RNAcentral.